AUUGAACGCUGGCGGCAGGCCUAACACAUGCAAGUCGAGCGGUAGAGAGAAGCUUGCUUCUCUUGAGAGCGGCGGACGGGUGAGUAAUACCUAGGAAUCUGCCUGAUAGUGGGGGAUAACGUUCGGAAACGGACGCUAAUACCGCAUACGUCCUACGGGAGAAAGCAGGGGACCUUCGGGCCUUGCGCUAUCAGAUGAGCCUAGGUCGGAUUAGCUAGUUGGUGAGGUAAUGGCUCACCAAGGCUACGAUCCGUAACUGGUCUGAGAGGAUGAUCAGUCACACUGGAACUGAGACACGGUCCAGACUCCUACGGGAGGCAGCAGUGGGGAAUAUUGGACAAUGGGCGAAAGCCUGAUCCAGCCAUGCCGCGUGUGUGAAGAAGGUCUUCGGAUUGUAAAGCACUUUAAGUUGGGAGGAAGGGCAGUUACCUAAUACGUGAUUGUCUUGACGUUACCGACAGAAUAAGCACCGGCUAACUCUGUGCCAGCAGCCGCGGUAAUACGGAGGGUGCAAGCGUUAAUCGGAAUUACUGGGCGUAAAGCGCGCGUAGGUGGUUUGUUAAGUUGAAUGUGAAAUCCCCGGGCUCAACCUGGGAACUGCAUCCAAAACUGGCAAGCUAGAGUAUGGUAGAGGGUAGUGGAAUUUCCUGUGUAGCGGUGAAAUGCGUAGAUAUAGGAAGGAACACCAGUGGCGAAGGCGACUACCUGGACUGAUACUGACACUGAGGUGCGAAAGCGUGGGGAGCAAACAGG
Molecule: ribosomal RNA, 753 nt
Filed under: uncultured Pseudomonas sp.
Lineage: Bacteria; Pseudomonadati; Pseudomonadota; Gammaproteobacteria; Pseudomonadales; Pseudomonadaceae
Description: bacterial SSU rRNA
Rfam family: Bacterial small subunit ribosomal RNA
Source: RNAcentral